AGUGAACGCUGGCGGUAGGCCUAACACAUGCAAGUCGAACGGCAGCACAGUAAGAGCUUGCUCUUACGGGUGGCGAGUGGCGGACGGGUGAGGAAUACAUCGGAAUCUACUUUUUCGUGGGGGAUAACGUAGGGAAACUUACGCUAAUACCGCAUACGACCUACGGGUGAAAGCAGGGGAUCUUCGGACCUUGCGCGAUUGAAUGAGCCGAUGUCGGAUUAGCUAGUUGGCGGGGUAAAGGCCCACCAAGGCGACGAUCCGUAGCUGGUCUGAGAGGAUGAUCAGCCACACUGGAACUGAGACACGGUCCAGACUCCUAGGGGAGGCAGCAGUGGGGAAUAUUGGACAAGGGGCGCAAGCCUGAUCCAGCCAUACCGCGUGGGUGAAGAAGGCCUUCGGGUGGUAAAGCCCUUUUGUUGGGAAAGAAAAGCAGCAGGUUAAUACCCCGCUGUUCUGACGGUACCCAAAGAAUAAGCACCGGCUAACUUCGU
This 491-nucleotide ribosomal RNA is filed under the name uncultured bacterium. Its description in RNAcentral is "partial 16S ribosomal RNA". It matches the Rfam family "Bacterial small subunit ribosomal RNA", at positions 29 to 506 of the family's 1533-position model. The record is from RNAcentral.